AGAGUUUGAUCCUGGCUCAGGACGAACGCUGGCGGCGUGCUUAACACAUGCAAGUCGAACGGAAAGGCCCUUUCGGGGUACUCGAGUGGCGAACGGGUGAGUAACACGUGGGUGAUCUGCCCUGCACUUUGGGAUAAGCCUGGGAAACUGGGUCUAAUACCGAAUACACCUCACUGGCUGCAUGGUUGGUGGGGGAAAGCUUUUGCGGUGUGGGAUGGGCCCGCGGCCUAUCAGCUUGUUGGUGAGGUUACGGCUCACCAAGGCGACGACGGGUAGCCGGCCUGAGAGGGUGACCGGCCACACUGGGACUGAGAUACGGCCCAGACUCCUACGGGAGGCAGCAGUGGGGAAUAUUGCACAAUGGGCGCAAGCCUGAUGCAGCGACGCCGCGUGGGGGAUGACGGCCUUCGGGUUGUAAACUCCUUUCAGCACAGACGAAGCGCAAGUGACGGUAUGUGCAGAAGAAGGACCGGCCAACUACGUGCCAGCAGCCGCGGUAAUACGUAGGGUCCGAGCGUUGUCCGGAAUUACUGGGCGUAAAGAGCUCGUAGGUGGUUUGUCGCGUUGUUCGUGAAAACUCACAGCUUAACUGUGGGCGUGCGGGCGAUACGGGCAGACUUGAGUACUGCAGGGGAGACUGGAAUUCCUGGUGUAGCGGUGGAAUGCGCAGAUAUCAGGAGGAACACCGGUGGCGAAGGCGGGUCUCUGGGCAGUAACUGACGCUGAGGAGCGAAAGCGUGGGGAGCGAACAGGAUUAGAUACCCUGGUAGUCC
This 773-nucleotide ribosomal RNA is filed under the name uncultured bacterium. RNAcentral describes it as "bacterial SSU rRNA". It matches the Rfam family "Bacterial small subunit ribosomal RNA", at positions 8 to 796 of the family's 1533-position model. The record is from RNAcentral.